CCUACGGGGCGCUGCAGUGGGGAAUAUUGCACAAUGGGGGAAACCCUGAUGCAGCGACGCCGCGUGAGUGAAGAAGUAAUUCGUUACGUAAAGCUCUAUCAGCAGGGAAGAAACACUGACCUUACGGUCAGCAGACGGUACCUGAGUAAGAAGCCCCGGCUAACUACGUGCCAGCAGCCGCGGUAAUACGUAGGGUGCAAGCGUUAUCCGGAUUUACUGGGUGUAAAGGGAGCGUAGACGGUGCGCCAAGUCUGUAGUGAAAUGCCGCAGCUUAACUGCGGAACUGCGUUGGAAACUGGCGAACUAGAGUGCGGGAGGUGUAAGCGGAAUUCCUAGUGUAGCGGUGAAAUGCGUAGAUAUUAGGAGGAACACCGGUGGCGCAGGCGGCUUACUGGACCGUAACUGACGUUGAGGCUCGAAAGCGUGGGGAGCAAACAGGAUUAGAUACCCGAGUAGUC
Molecule: ribosomal RNA, 458 nt
Filed under: uncultured bacterium
Lineage: Bacteria
Description: partial 16S ribosomal RNA
Rfam family: Bacterial small subunit ribosomal RNA
Source: RNAcentral